This is a non-coding RNA of Nicotiana tabacum (common tobacco), 473 nucleotides long. The record is from RefSeq and is a predicted model, not a curated record. Lineage: Eukaryota; Viridiplantae; Streptophyta; Magnoliopsida; Solanales; Solanaceae.
UUCUAUCUAUCCCUCCUUCUCUCUAUCUCUCUCUAUAUCUCUCCUCCAUAGAAACUUGAAAAUCUGAAGUUUCAUGAAAAAAACCAUGGAUUUCUGCUAAAUCAACAAGCAAAUUUCGUUUUUGGUGAAGAUCAAGUUGCUCCUCUUGGAAAUGUUUGGGAUGAAAUCUGAAGAUGGCCAGGGUGAAGUAGUCUUUUUGGGAGAAUUUAUGGAGAUCACAUUUGCAUAUGCACCUUGCUUUGCAUAGUUUUGGGACAUGUACAUGAUAUACAUAAUAUACAGGAUAUAUAUAUAUAUAUAUAUCACACUUAUGUUAUUUGGAGGCUUGUUGGAUUUUAAAGACCAAAAUCUUGUAACUUGAAUUUCUAACCUAUUUUAUUGUAUUAGGGUGUUUUAAUAAUUCAAGUCUUGUAAUAUGCUGAAUUUACACUUUGUCUUGUAAAUAUGUAGAAAAGGAGAAAACUAGUUUUUUU